GACGAACGCUGGCGGCGUGCCUAACACAUGCCAGUCGAACGAGAAUUUUGGGGACAUUCUCUCGGGAAUGUAGAUGAAGUGGAAGUAGCGAACGGGGGAGUAACUCGUUAUCAGACUGGGUUUCCCAGGGGGAUAGCCGUCUGAAACGACAAGUAAUACCGCAUGAGACCGCAGAAUCGCAUGAUACGGGUGUCAAAGAUUUAACAGUUUAAGAGGGGCUCGCUUCUGAUUAGCUAGUUGUAAGGGUAAAGGCAUACCAAGGCGACGAUCGGUAGACGGGAUGAGAGGAUGAGCCGACACAUUGGAACUGGGCCACGGUCCAGACUCCUACGGGAGGGAGCAGUGGGGGAUAUUGCAAAAUGGGGGGAACCAUGAUGCAGCGACGCCGCGAGAGCGAAGAAGGUUGUCGAAUCGUAAAGCUCUGUUAUAUGAGAAGAUAAUGACGGUACCAUAGGAGGAAGCCCCGGCUAACUACGUG
Molecule: ribosomal RNA, 478 nt
Filed under: uncultured bacterium
Lineage: Bacteria
Description: partial 16S ribosomal RNA
Rfam family: Bacterial small subunit ribosomal RNA
Source: RNAcentral